CCUUGUACACACCGCCCGUCAAGCCACCCGAGUGGGUCGCACCCGAAGUCACAGACCCAACCGCAAGGAGGGAUGUGCCGAAGGUGAGGUCCGUGAGGGGGACU
Molecule: ribosomal RNA, 104 nt
Filed under: uncultured bacterium
Lineage: Bacteria
Description: partial 16S ribosomal RNA
Rfam family: Bacterial small subunit ribosomal RNA
Source: RNAcentral